AACGCAAAUUGCGCUUCUUGGAUAGGCCAGGAAGCAUGCCUCUUUGAGUAUCGUUUUCACCCCAGCUCGACUGCUUAUUUGUGUAACAACGAAUAAGUUCUGUCGGAGAAUGAGUUUGUCUUGUCUGAAAAGAUAAGUCACUUUAAAUGCUGUGAGUUUGAUUGCCUACUUCAGUAGGAUUAGUGUAUGAACCUAAUCGCUGUCGUAAUGUGGAUAAAUUUUAUUUACAUUAUUAUGCAGUUUGAUUGGAUGUAUACUGGUAAUAAUCACUUAUAAACUCAGUGGAAAUUAAUCUAAUACUUUUAACGGUAUUAAUACCUUUUGAAUUAGAUCUCAAAUGAAGCAAGACUACCCGCUGAACUUAA
This 365-nucleotide unclassified non-coding RNA is filed under the name uncultured fungus. Its description in RNAcentral is "sequence contains ITS2". Lineage: Eukaryota; Fungi. The record is from RNAcentral.